CCCCGCCCCCCAGUAUUCCUCCCAGAAAGAAACAGGAAAGUGCCCCCCCAUUUCACCUCAACUUGCUUCCUUUCAAUGUUGUUGCAGAGAGACAGAUUCUAAGCCUGUGACUAGUAACAAAAAGUUACAGCUUCCACCAAAACUGUGGUCCAAGGAUGCAGCCUUAAGAAAACAUCUCACGCUUAAGCAAUCUGCAGAAUUUCUGAUUUUGACCAGACAACAACCGUGCUCAGAGUCUCUGGAAAACUCUCCUUUCAGUGCCAGCUUUAAUUGACUGCCUAUGAACUAAGAAAUGCCUGCCAGGUGGCCAGGCAGUCUCAGUGUUCCUCCAAAUAAAAACACAGGCC
This 347-nucleotide long non-coding RNA is filed under the name Podarcis lilfordi (Lilford's wall lizard). Lineage: Eukaryota; Metazoa; Chordata; Lepidosauria; Squamata; Lacertidae. The record is from RNAcentral.